Molecule: ribosomal RNA, 253 nt
Filed under: uncultured bacterium
Lineage: Bacteria
Description: partial 16S ribosomal RNA
Rfam family: Bacterial small subunit ribosomal RNA
Source: RNAcentral
UACAGAGGGUGCAAGCGUUAAUCGGAAUUACUGGGCGUAAAGCGUGCGUAGACGGUUAUUUAAGUCAGGUGUGAAAGCCCCGGGCUCAACCUGGGAAUUGCAUUUGAGACUGAAUAGCUAGGGUGCGGAAGAGGGAAGCGGAAUUUCCGGUGUAGCGGUGAAAUGCGCAGAUAUCAGGAGGAACACCAAUGGCGAAGGCAGCACUCUGGGACGGUACUGACGCUGAGACGCGAAAGCGUGGGGAGCGAACAGG